GACGAACGCUGGCGGCGUGCUUAACACAUGCAAGUCGAGCGGUAAGGCCCCUUCGGGGGUACGACGAGCGGCGAACGGGUGAGUAACACGUGGGUGACCUGCCCUCAGCUCUGGGAUAAGCCUGGGAAACUGGGUCUAAUACCGGAUAUGACUCCAUGACGCAUGUCGUGGGGUGGAAAGCCUUGUGCGGCUGGGGAUGGGCCCGCGGCCUAUCAGCUUGUUGGUGGGGUGAUGGCCUACCAAGGCGACGACGGGUAGCCGGCCUGAGAGGGCGACCGGCCACACUGGGACUGAGACACGGCCCAGACUCCUACGGGAGG
This 320-nucleotide ribosomal RNA is filed under the name uncultured bacterium. Its description in RNAcentral is "bacterial SSU rRNA". It matches the Rfam family "Bacterial small subunit ribosomal RNA", at positions 28 to 348 of the family's 1533-position model. The record is from RNAcentral.